GAUGAACGCUGGCGGCGUGCCUAAUACAUGCAAGUCGAGCGAACGGACGAGAAGCUUGCUUCUCUGAUGUUAGCGGCGGACGGGUGAGUAACACGUGGAUAACCUACCUAUAAGACUGGGAUAACUUCGGGAAACCGGAGCUAAUACCGGAUGAUAUUUUGAACCGCAUGGUUCAAAAGUGAAAGACGGUCUUGCUGUCACUUAUAGAUGGAUCCGCGCUGCAUUAGCUAGUUGGUAAGGUAACGGCUUACCAAGGCAACGAUGCAUAGCCGACCUGAGAGGGUGAUCGGCCACACUGGAACUGAGACACGGUCCAGACUCCUACGGGAGGCAGCAGUAGGGAAUCUUACGCAAUGGGCGAAAGCAUGACGGAGCAACGCCGCGUGAGUGAUGAAGGUCUUCGGAUCGUAAAACUCUGUUAUUAGGGAAGAACAUAUGUGUAAGUAACUGUGCACAUCUUGACGGUACCUAAUCAGAAAGCCACGGCUAACUACGUG
This 497-nucleotide ribosomal RNA is filed under the name uncultured bacterium. RNAcentral's name for it is "partial 16S ribosomal RNA". It matches the Rfam family "Bacterial small subunit ribosomal RNA", at positions 28 to 507 of the family's 1533-position model. The record is from RNAcentral.